Long non-coding RNA from Heteronotia binoei (common prickly gecko), 2391 nucleotides. RefSeq lists it as uncharacterized. The record is from RefSeq and is a predicted model, not a curated record. Lineage: Eukaryota; Metazoa; Chordata; Lepidosauria; Squamata; Gekkonidae. The transcript has 2 exons.
GCAGAGCACCGCAUAAUUUCCUCCAACACCCAGCUAUUGAAAGCCUCCGCUUACUGGUUGCUAUGGAAGCACGUUCCCUUGUCCAGCCUACGGAAGCACGGUAGCUAGUAAGGGCGGAAGCUCUAGCGUCUUCGAGUUACGUAGGCAUGCCGAAUAAAAACGGGUUUGAUGAGCGUAUUCUCCUUUGAAUCACCAGGUCUGAAAAUUUGCUGUUGCCCAAUGUGAAACAUUUCCAGUAGCUGGCUACCAGACUGGACAUGAGGCUCCAAGCUGGCAUCUGCAGUACUUCCAGAACUGACGAUGUUCCUCCGACUGUAUCUUCGAUGCAGCCGCACAAUUGUUCCUACUAAGCAUUUACGUACAGAUUUGUUAACAGUCAGAAAAAGCAGAGGAUUGGCCAGCAGUGAUAUUUUGGGCAGCCAGAUGGCAGUGAGAAGCAAGAACACAGAAGGGUCAGAAGAACUCAAUACAAUACGGUAAAUCACCAAAAUCAUAUAGGGAAUACUGCAGAAGAUAAAGAUCAUAACCAUGGACAGCAGCAUGGCAUGAAGUUCAGAUUCUCUCUGGGAGGCAUAAGGAAUAGAAAUAGUAUUCUGAGGUGUUCUUAAGGCAGCUAUGAUGACUUUUUUCUUCUGGCUGGCACUCAGGGCCUUCCGGAUAAGGAUCAUAAAGAGAAACACCACAGCCACCGGCACUAUCACAGUGGUAAUAUUGUAAAUAAUUACAUAUACCAAAUGGCCAAUAGAGUAACUCCAAGGUUCAGUGCAAGAGGACAUUGCGUAAAUAUCCGAGACACUGGUCACAGCAAAUACAGGAAUGCUUGCCACCACUGCAUGUGCCCAGAUGUAGAUCACCAGAUCUCGAGACCUGGCAUCUGAUAUUUUCCUUUCAAGUGGGUACAGAACUGAAUAAUACCUAUCAAAAAAAAAGAAAAAGUGUAUGAGAAAUAUUUAAAUUCAGGUGAACCUUCUGUGGAAACUCUCCCCAAUGACCUAAUUUUGAGUAAAUUAUAACAUAUAGUGUGAAUUUAUAUCAUCUGCUGUAACAAUUGUCAAGAACUUCCCAUAUGGUACUUAAGCCAAAAGAACAUUUUUCUACAUUGAUGAGAAGAAAAUAUCUAUACUUUUCAAUGAAUAGAAUGAUAAAUAAUAAUUUGAGAAAUCACAAAGCUGCAAAAGGGCAUAAUAUAGGAGAACAAAGUCAUCCUUAUGAGAUCAGUAGAGGAUCCUAAUGAGAUGCAGAAUUACACUUCCUAGGUUCAGAUCAACAACUUGCUAGUUUUAAGUCCAGAAUAGGAUACAUGACUUUUUAUGUAAUUUAUAUUGCAUAACCUCAUCUGAUAUAUUUUUCUUCCUCGCCUUCUGUUUUAAAUAGGAAAGAAGCCUUUAAAUCACUGUUAGAUUGUGAUUCUGUUUUAAGAGUUUGUGUAGGCUUUAAUAUAUUUGUAUUACAUUCUGAAUUAUUUUCAGUAGUGAGCUGAAAUUUUCAGAGUGUCCAGAAAAAGCUGCAAUACAAAAGUUACAAAGGAACUCAGAAAAAAGGAAUCCAGUCUGAAUCUGCUAUUCAGCUUUUUCCCCAAUAGAUCCUAGGGAUGGCUAGCUUACUACAAAAACUUUAGAUACACUACUCCUCUUGCUUUGUCAAAGUGGGAUACCAAACAGGAUCUCCAAAGCAUAGGUGGUUCCAAGAGGCUUUUGUUUCAAGCCAUUUCAUGAUAUUAAAAAGUUGCUUUUUAUACAGACAGUUUUAUGGUUGAGUAUACAUUGGUCUGCAUUACCAGGGAAAUUGAGGCCCUGUAAAAAUUCUUCAGAGACUGUAAAAAAAAUGAUUUAAGAAUACAGAAGGGGCCUUUUGCCCAGUAAAUGAAUUAAUAAUGAGAAAGGUGUAACUGGCUACCACGCUAACUGUGGUAGACAGCCAUGUAUGAGGAAAUUUACCUUCUAUAUGUUGGCAAUUGGCUCCCUGAAAACUAGAUUUAGUCCUCUGAAAUAUUGACUUGGUUAAGUUAGGCUGACCAAAGCAUAAAAAUCCAGCCACUAUAUGCCUUCUCCCCCACCCCUUUCUCAACAUAACUUAUCUAACAGGAUGAUGGCAAAACUAAAGUGUUACUCUUAGCUCCAUGGGCAGAAUGCGAUAUUAUUAAAGAUAUUUAUUAUUAAUGAAUAGAUGUUUAGAACUAAAAAGAGGGUGAGUGAGCAACUGAGCUGUAUUAACAAGUACCCUCUAAAUAAGAACAAGUCUAGAACAGCACCCCCCAAUUUUGUUGAGCCUGCAGGCAGUUUUGGAAUUUUGAGAAAGGUUAGUGAGUGUCAAAACACACUGGAUGCCUCAUCAUAUUUUUUAUUUAUUGCACUUAUUUAUUUAUUUAAAUAAAGUCUCCAUUAAAGAAAA